This 253-nucleotide ribosomal RNA is filed under the name uncultured bacterium. RNAcentral's name for it is "partial 16S ribosomal RNA". It matches the Rfam family "Bacterial small subunit ribosomal RNA", at positions 524 to 776 of the family's 1533-position model. The record is from RNAcentral.
CACGUAGGGCGCAAGCGUUGUCCGGAAUUAUUGGGCGUAAAGAGCUCGUAGGCGGUCUGUUGCGUCUGCUGUGAAAACCCGGGGCUCAACUCCGGGCCUGCAGCCGAUACGGGCAGACUAGAGUUCGGCAGGGGAGACUGGAAUUCCUGGUGUAGCGGUGAAAUGCGCAGAUAUCAGGAGGAACACCGGUGGCGAAGGCGGGUCUCUGGGCAUUAACUGACGCUGAGGAGCGAAAGCAUGGGGAGCGAACAGG